This 253-nucleotide unclassified non-coding RNA is filed under the name uncultured Chlamydiales bacterium. RNAcentral's name for it is "contains 16S-23S intergenic spacer region". It matches the Rfam family "Bacterial small subunit ribosomal RNA", at positions 524 to 776 of the family's 1533-position model. The record is from RNAcentral. Lineage: Bacteria; Pseudomonadati; Chlamydiota; Chlamydiia; Chlamydiales.
UACGGAGGGUGCAAGCGUUAAUCGGAAUUAUUGGGCGUAAAGGGCGCGUAGGCGGAUUGUUAAGUCAGAUGUGAAAUUUCGGAGCUCAAAACCGAAGCGGCAUAUGAAACUGAUGAUCUAGAGUUCUAACGGAGAAAACGGAAUUCCACGUGUAGCGGUGAAAUGCGUAGAUAUGUGGAAGAACACCUGUGGCGAAAGCGGUUUUCUAGUGAGCAACUGACGCUGAGGCGCGAGAGCAAGGGGAGCAAACAGG